CCUUGUACACACCGCCCGUCACACCAUGGGAGCGGGUUCUGCCAGAAGUAGUUAGCCUAACCGCAAGGAGGGCGAUUACCACGGCAGGGUUCGUGACUGGGGUG
RNAcentral lists this ribosomal RNA (104 nucleotides) under uncultured bacterium. RNAcentral describes it as "partial 16S ribosomal RNA". It matches the Rfam family "Bacterial small subunit ribosomal RNA", at positions 1379 to 1482 of the family's 1533-position model. The record is from RNAcentral.